CCGAGUGAGGGCCCUCUGGGUCCAACCUCCCACCCGUGUCUAUCGUACCUUGUUGCUUCGGCGGGCCCGCCUCACGGCCGCCAGGGGGCAUCCGCCCCCCGGCCCGCGCCCGCCGAAGACGCCUAUGAACUCUGUCUGAAGAUUGCAGUCUGAGUGAAAUGAUAAAUUAUCUA
RNAcentral lists this unclassified non-coding RNA (173 nucleotides) under uncultured Penicillium. RNAcentral's name for it is "sequence contains ITS1". The record is from RNAcentral. Lineage: Eukaryota; Fungi; Ascomycota; Eurotiomycetes; Eurotiales; Aspergillaceae.